UUCAUUUAAGGUAGAUUCUUGCGCCUACGAGACGUUUGUUUGGCGGCCUCUGAUUGGCUGGUAGCGGGAGGCAGACUGCUCGCUCAGUGGGUCAUAUUUUCGUUUGUAGCUUAGAAAACUAGCAAUAUGUUUACAUUUCUUCAUUUAUCUCACGUUUUACAAAAGAUAGGAAAGUUUUGGUCAUACCUAAGGAUUCGGUAUUAAAUGUACAAUUAAUGAAUCUUUUCCUGAAAUCAAUAAGUUAAAAUACAAAGGAAUUACAACGAGUAGAAGUGAAGGGAGAAACAUUUCAUUCUUUAUACCUGUUUUUAUUCAUCAUCGGAUUUUGCAUAAUUCAUGAGAUCAAGAUAAAAUAAAAUCUUGUGUUAUUAAACAAUAAAAUCACCCUGAAUACGCUGGUGCUUUCAGAUUUUAGAUGCGUGUAAUAUAUAAAGAGAAAAUGAAGAAUAUGUCUUAUUAUGUUGCAUUCGUGCUUGACUCGGUUUGACAAUAGUGCCGAGACACAUCGUUGGGUCUGGUCCUCUCAGCUAGAGCCGUUGGCGUGUUGGCAGUUGCCAAUUGGCGAUAUGAGAAGUUUGCAGUUUCGAGACUAUGUAUUCACCGAAUUAUUAUGUCCUUAUAUUUUCUAUAAAUAAAUGUAUAGAAUUCCCAUUAUAACUUUCGAACAUUUUUACUCAAAUAUCAUAUAUGUCCGUAUUUCUGGACAUAUCUGAUAAAAAAAGUAAAUAAUCAGAUGGAUGCAUCUGGUAUCGUUGGAGGUGUAGGCUGGCCGCGGGCGGGAAAUUCAGUCCAGGAAUGAAUUUGAAAUCUACGGACCUACUUCGCACUCUUCAGCUCAUCCUUAGUUUUAAUGAGAUGUCUCAAGAUGACAGCAUCAUUCGUCGCACCGUUUCCAGAUUUGCAAGUCAAGCUCGCAACAUUAUAAUGAAUGUUCAUCGUUACUUCAGCUCACAGUGGGGAGCAGACUCAAGAAAUGAAGUAUUUGAGAAGACCGCCAAAGCUACAGGAGUGCCAACCAACACAGUGAAAAAAAUCAAGCGACAGUCAUCUGAAUGUGGUAACGUCCCCUUCGCUUCACCUGUAUAUCCCAGGAAGAGGAUCCGAGUGAAGGACAAGGUGGAUAGUUUUGAAAAUGAGUGUAUUCGGAAGGAGAUUUUGUCUUUUUACGAGAGAGGAGAGCUCCCAACGUUAGAUGCCCUACUGGAAAAAGUGAAGGAAGACCCGGUGAAGUUUAAUGGUGGAAGAACAACGUUAUGGAAAAUUGUGAGAGGGCUUGGAUUCCGGUACAAAAAAAGUGACGAGUGGAAGAGCAAUUUUAAUGGAACGUGAUGAUAUAGUGGCAGCGAGAACUGAAUACCUACGGUUAAUUGAAAAGAAUAGGAAUUGUAGUCCAACUGAACGUAAACCUGAAGUAUUCCUUGAUGAAACUUGGAUAAACCAAAAUGAAUGUGUACGUCAGUGUUGGACAACGGGUGAAGGCGAAAUAGGACCCAAACUUAAGACUGGAAAGGGAUCAAGAUUUAUUGUGGUGCACUCGGGGAGUGAGAAGGGGUUUGUCAAAGAUGCGCUAUUGUUGUUUAGGUCAAAAAAUGGUGCCAAAGGGGACUACCAUGAUUCCAUGGACCAUGAAAGGUUUUUAAAGUGGUUUAAGGAACAACUAUUGCCUAAUAUAGAAGAUAGAUCUCUAAUCAUAAUGGACAAUGCUCCCUACCAUAGCAAAAUAGAAAAUAAAGUGCCAACAACCAGCAACAGAAAAAGUGAAGUCAUACAGUGGCUUUCUUCUAAUAACGUCACCCACGACCCAUCAGCAACAAAGCCAAAAUUGUUGCAGAUUGCCAAGUGUCACAAAGAAAAACAGAGGUAUGUUAUAGAUGAGAUAGCCUGUGCAAAUGGUCAUGAUGUGCUCAGACUGCCACCAUAUUAUUGUCAGUUUAACCCCAUAGAACUUAUAUGGGCUCAAAUAAAGGGGAUAUCAGAAAAAAUAACUCUAAUGCAAAUCAAUCUUUGAAAACUGUUGAGCAGCUUACGAGACUGGCGAUAGACAAAGUUACAACAGAAGACUGGAAGAAAUGUUUUCACCACGUUAAGAAAUUAGAAGAUGAUUAUAGGAGGAAAGAUGUUGCUAGAGAGCAUAUGUUUGAAAGUUUUUUUAUUGACAUUGGGGAUGACGAAACUGACAGUGAUGAUAUUGAUAUUAGGGAGGAUGACACUGACAGUGAUGAUAUAUAUCAAUGAUUUUCCAUUAUUUUUUUUUUUUUUAAGUUGAAGACCUAACAGUGUUUCUAUAGUUUUCCAAUUUUUAGAUAGGCAAUUUCAUAACUACAGUAUAUCCAUAUGAGUUUCUUUUUUUUUUAAUAUUUUAAUGGCAUAACAAUGUACAUAUCUGUUUAUAAAUUCUUUUUACUUGGUUUUAAUAGAAAAGGGGAUAUCAAUGUAUCUUUAUAAUUUCCCAUUCUUUUUGUUCUAAUAGGUAAUGACAUGAUUAUGUAUAUAUGCAUGAUUUUCCUUUAUUUAUUUUUUAAAUAGUGAUGACGUAAGAAAAUUUGUAAAAUUUUAAUUUCUUUUUGUUCAUAUCGAUAGCCUAAUGACAUACCAAUGUAAGCCUACUGUGUAUGAGUUUCUUUUGUGUUUAUGACAUAAUAUAUCUGCAUGAAUUUCCAUUCUUUUUGUAUAAAAAGAUGAUGAUAUAACAGUCUUCUGAUUAGUCUCAUUAUCCAACAUGUACUAUAUAUAUACAAUUAUGCAGGGCUGUGGGAACGGUUACGGGAGCUAUUCUAACUCAGGUAUGAAUUAAGUGAUUCAAGAAUAAUCAACUACCUCAGGAGAAAACUAAGCAAAUUUUUCCUAAACAUUGUUGUAGACGUUGUCAAGUGUAACAUGUAUAUAAAGGAGAUAAACAUUCUGGUGUAAGAGUAACUCAAGCAAUUCUGAAAAAGACAGUAUAUUAUAUUCGUUACAUCGUCAACAAAUUUUAUGGUAAGAAAUAAACAUUUGUACUUUUGUUUAUUGAGUGAACAUAUGAAAACCAUAAGCUUUUGAUGUUAUUGGCCAGAGAAACAAGUUCUGUUAUUUAUCAGUGAGCCUCAUAAAGCAUGUACAUUUCUCACUUAGACUAAAUUGAAGCCAACACCCAGAUGCAUCCAUCUGAUUAUUUACUUUUCUUUUAUCAGAUAUGUCCAGAAAUACGGACAUAUAUAAUAUUUUAGUAAAAAUGUUCGAAAGUCAUAAUGGGAAUUCUAUGCAUUUAUUUAUAGAAAAUGUAAUGACAUAAUAAUUCGGUAAAUACAUAGUCUCGAAACUGCAAACUUCUCAUAUCGCCAAUUGGCAACUGCCAACACGCUAACAGCUCUAGCUGAGAGGACCAGCCCCACGAUAUCUUGCGUCUCUCGGCACUACUGUCAAACCGAGUCAAGCACGGAUGCAACAUAAUAAGACAUAUUCUUCAUUUUCUCUUUACAUAUUACACGUAUUUAAAAUCUGAAAGCACCAGCGUAUUCAGGGUGAUUUCAUUGUUUUAAAACACAAGAUUUCAUUUUAUCUUGAUCUCGUGAAUUAUGCAAAAUCCGAUGAUGAAUAAAAACAGGUAUAAAGAAUGAAAUGUUUCUCCCUUCACUUCUACUCGUUGUAAUUCCUUUGUAUUUUAACUUAUUGAUUUCAGGAAAAGAUUCAUUAAUUGUACAUUUAAUACUGAAUCCUUUGGUAUGACCAAAACUUUCCUAUCUUUUGUAAAACGUGAGAUAAAUGAAGAAAUGUAAACAUAUUGCUAGUUUUCUAAGCUACAAACGAAAAUAUGACCCGCUGAGCGAGCAGUCUGCCUCCCGCUACCAGCCAAUCAGAGGCCGCCAAACAAACGUCUCGUAGGCGCAAGAAUCUACCUUAAAU
This is an RNA transcript of Macrobrachium nipponense, 3882 nucleotides long. RefSeq lists it as uncharacterized. The transcript has 2 exons. The record is from RefSeq and is a predicted model, not a curated record. Lineage: Eukaryota; Metazoa; Arthropoda; Malacostraca; Decapoda; Palaemonidae.